Non-coding RNA from Chelonoidis abingdonii (Abingdon island giant tortoise), 530 nucleotides. NCBI's taxonomy places the organism in Eukaryota, Metazoa, Chordata, Testudines, Testudinidae. The record is from RefSeq and is a predicted model, not a curated record.
CAUGGCAUUGCUCUCAUUGAAAGUUCACUGUCAUUGAAGGUUUUUAAAAAUAUUUGCUACAUGAAGGCAGAUACUAACAACACGAAUUUACAAGGUGUGGUUAGAUGUUGAUAGAUGUUUGGCUGCAUGUGCGUGUGUGUUCCCUCUGUGUGGUGCCCCAGCCCUGCGCAGACAGCUGGCAUGGCGACUUUGAGUGAACUGCCCAAUCACCACAAGAUCUAAGGGAGGAAGGCACCCAGCCAGGUUUAUUGUCAAUGAAGUACAGUACUAGUAUCCCGCAGACUCUACCGGACCACUAAUGCUUGUAUGCCCAUAACAAUGGACCAGCUCAGUGAACGGCAGGACUUUCCCUUCCUCCCUAGGCCAGACAAAGAUAUUCCCUCUGAGCUACAUCUUCAUACCCUAAUGCAAACAAGUUAGUGCUGCCCUCUUACAUAGUUACUGCCCUCGACGUGGCUAGUUAUUACCCAUCAACUUGUUCAUGUUGGGUCAAUUAAAACAUUUCUGUUACGGUUUAUAAAGCAUGAAAA